GUUCACCGUGCCCACAGACUGUUGCCACGACGCCUCUCGCCGCAGGUGAACGAACUGCAGAACUUAACGAGCGCAGAAGUCAUCGUCCCCCGCGACCAAACGCCCGAUGAGAACGAGGAAGUUGUGGUGAAAAUCAUCGGGCAUUUCUUCGCCAGCCAGACUGCACAGCGCAAGAUCACGGAAAUCGUACAGCAGGUGAAGCGGCAGGAGCAGAAACACGCUCAGGGAGCCCCCUCCCUCCCGCGCAGCAAGUGAGGCGCCCGCGCCAGCCCGCAGCCACCGACGAAUGUAGCCCUUCCAACGCCUGCCAGGCCGCCAGCGUGGGGCGCCAACCAAAGACCUUCCUGAGGCAGAACGCUCUGCCCGGGGCUGGGCAGGGGAGGGCUCCCCCCCACUCACGCUGCCGUCGCCCCGCCGCAGGGGCCCUGCCGACUGACUCUUCCCAGCCACAACCUCCACGUUCCCCUCUCUACUAGCGCGAUGUGAUCCCUUUAGUUGGACUAACAUAGGCGGAGACGGGGCAGGCAGCCCCCCGGCAGCGCCCGCUCCCCGUGCCUGGGGCCACGCGGUAGCUGGGGGGAGUUUUUUGUUUUACAGUGCAUGACGUGGCAUUCGCACCGUUGACGAUACUUUAGACCGAAUAGCGCUGUAACCAAACUAACCCACUUUUCAUUUUGUAAAAGGUUAAGUUGUUUUUUUUUUUUAUUUACUUGUUUUUUGGAGCUUGUGGUUCUCCGACAAA
Molecule: non-coding RNA, 742 nt
Organism: Pelodiscus sinensis (Chinese soft-shelled turtle)
Lineage: Eukaryota; Metazoa; Chordata; Testudines; Trionychidae
Source: RefSeq, a predicted model, not a curated record